Molecule: transfer RNA, 72 nt
Filed under: Acetivibrio straminisolvens JCM 21531
Lineage: Bacteria; Bacillati; Bacillota; Clostridia; Acetivibrionales; Acetivibrionaceae
Description: [Clostridium] straminisolvens JCM 21531 tRNA
Rfam family: tRNA
About the family: Transfer RNA (tRNA) molecules are approximately 80 nucleotides in length. Their secondary structure includes four short double-helical elements and three loops (D, anti-codon, and T loops).
Source: Rfam by way of RNAcentral
GGGGCUAUAGCGCAGUUGGGAGCGCGCUUGAAUGGCAUUCAAGAGGUCAGGGGUUCGAACCCCUUAGCUCCA